Molecule: ribosomal RNA, 547 nt
Filed under: Conus sulcatus
Lineage: Eukaryota; Metazoa; Mollusca; Gastropoda; Neogastropoda; Conidae
Description: partial 12S ribosomal RNA
Source: RNAcentral
AACCAAGGAAUUUAGUCAUUCUUUUAUGGUAAAAAGACAGUUAGGCAAAAAUAUAAUCAUUGGAUCCUUAGUAAAGGAGUAAAAUCUAUAUACUAAAAGUUAUACCGGGUAUGAUUUAUUUAAGAUGCUGAGUCUGUGAUAGCUUUAAGGGAAACUGGGAUUGGAUACCCCAUUAUUUUUAGUUGUAAAUUAGUUUAGGUUUACCGGAGUACUACGAAUAAAAAAGUUUAAAACUCAAAGGGCUUGGCGGUGUUUUAGACCUCUCAGGGGAACCUGUCUCAUAAUCGACAAUCCACGUUAGACCUAACCUUUUAUGGUAACACAGCCUGUAUACCGUCGUCGUCAGGUAACUUUUUAAAAUACAGGAGUUAGCUCGAGAAUUAUAUUAAUUAAAACGUCAGAUCAAGGUGCAGCUAAUGAGAAGGUGAGGAUGGGUUACAAUUAUAUAUUUAUAACUACAGAAAACAUUUGAAAUGAAAUGUCUUAAAGGAGGACUUGAAAGUAAUUUUAAUUAUAUAAAUAAAAUGAAUAAGGCUCUGAAACGUGC